UACGACGGGUGCAAGCGUGAAUCGGAAUUACUGGGCGUAAAGCGCGCGUAGGUGGUUCGUUAAGUUGGAUGUGAAAGCCCCGGGCUCAACCUGGGAACUGCAUCCAAAACUGGCGAGCUAGAGUACGGUAGAGGGUGGUGGAAUUUCCUGUGUAGCGGUGAAAUGCGUAGAUAUAGGAAGGAACACCAGUGGCGAAGGCGACCACCUGGACUGAUAAUGACACUGAGGUGAGCAAGCGGGGGGAGAACACAGGAGUAGAUACCCGCGUAGUCC
This 273-nucleotide ribosomal RNA is filed under the name uncultured bacterium. Its description in RNAcentral is "partial 16S ribosomal RNA". It matches the Rfam family "Bacterial small subunit ribosomal RNA", at positions 524 to 796 of the family's 1533-position model. The record is from RNAcentral.